This is an RNA transcript of Dermochelys coriacea (leatherback sea turtle), 4567 nucleotides long. It is a transcript of the gene named EF-hand calcium binding domain 11, with no coding region annotated. The record is from RefSeq and is a predicted model, not a curated record. The transcript has 8 exons. NCBI's taxonomy places the organism in Eukaryota, Metazoa, Chordata, Testudines, Dermochelyidae.
GGCGGUGUUGUGGUUGCCCCGCGGAAGUCAAGCGAGGCGGGCGGGUUGCGAGAACGGAGAAGGCGCGGGAGGGCAGCGGUGUCAUGUGCGCAGCGCCCAGUCGAGCGCGGAGCGGCGGGUCGGGCGGGGAGCGCUACGUGCGGGUUUUUAAAGCAUGUGAUGAAGAUAAGAAAGGAUAUUUAAGCAGAGAGGACUUUAAGGUCGCUGUGGUGAUGCUAUUUGGUUACAAACCAUCAAAGGUGGAGGUGGAUUCAGUAAUGGCCUCAGUACAACAAAAAAAUUCAGGUGUAUUACUUGAAGAAUUUUUAAAACUUAUGAGUACAAAGAAGGCUGCACAACUACACCAUAGUGAAAUAAGGCAGAUAUUCACAGCUUUUGACAUGCAAUAUAAAGGAUUUUUGACUUUGGAAGAUUUCAAAAGAGCCUUCAAUUCCGUUGCUCCAAAGUUACCUGAAAGGAUCAUAGUUGAAGCUUUCAGAAAUCUAAAAAUACUCAUUUUCACAAUUUCAUGACUUGUUUGAGAAACUGGAACUUGAGAGCUGUCUCUUGAAGACCGUGGAACUAACAUGCUAGUACACUCUACAAGAGAUUACAGCUGUAAAGAGACUUAGAAGGAACCCCCUCUCCUCCUCCCCUUGUUUGAUAGUCUUUUGGAUGGUGUCAAAGAUGGUAAUAACUGUCCUUUGGGGCAGAAGAGAAGUUAGUAGAAAUGGAUCGGAGCUGCUGCUGUCUGAUACCGUUUUAUCCCAAGUGGUGUUUGGGAUUCGGCUGGAGCUGAUAGAUGUGUUGAUGUCAUCUGGGUACCUUUCUCUGGCCUGGUCUGGUAAAGACAUAUCUCGGGAUUAGGAUGAUGAAGGCCUGGAGUCCCAGGAGAUGGGAGGAGGACAGGUGGGAUCCAUGGUGAUGAAGCUUGCUUCAGUAGUCUCUGGCUGUUUUUCGGCUCCAUCUGUUCGUUCAGUCUUUUCCUCCCAAAGUCUCUUUCUUUAAAGACCUCCAAAGGAAAUCGUGUGUGGAAUAGCCCAUCCCCUUAUUUAUUUUGUGCACUAAUAAGGCCUAAUACUCAACACACCAAUUUUGGUUCAUGGACUUCUGGCCAUCAUCUGUUUUUAACAAGCAUAAUUUCAACAGUCCUUUGAUUAUAUCGAUGUGGUCUUUUUAGUUUAGGCUAAUCCAGUUUCUUGGUCUGGUUUUCUGGCACCUAUUCCCAUCAACACUUGUUGUUAUAGGUUAUUGUGACAUUUUAUGAUCUCCCACUCACUUUUUACAGUUAAAUUUACAAUUAGAGUAGAUUUGAAGGCUCUAUUAUCACAACAGCACUCACAAAGAGAAAGUUAUUUGAUCCACAGUUCAAAAGUUUUGUGGGAAUUCUUAUAUUACAGGAAUGUUUCUCCCUCUAUCCAUUUCAGAUAGAUGAAGUUUGAGUGAUUUAUAAAAAUGUUCGGGUGUUUUUUUUUUUUUGGCUAUCAGUUGCAUAGUUGGAGUCCCAAAGCUGCAUUCCAGUAUGCAGGAAGUACGAGUUUUGUCUGAACUAAUGUGACAUCAUAUAUAUGUUUUCUUCCUAUAAAAAUUGUAAUAGGUUCUUAUAAUACUCACAAUAUUCAUUGUAUUAAGUCUUAAAAUGAAAUUGUACUGUAUUUGUUCCAAAGCCUCCAUGUGGAUAUUUGGUCCAAAUUAACUGUUUUGGUUUUAAAGUUAUUUUAAAGGUGAUCUUGUAAUGGUUGUGAGAUUAGUUUUUGCUUCCCCCCCCCCCAGUAUGGUGCAUAGUGAGCCACCCAGCAGAGCAGCAGUCAAAGCAUCUUCACGAUCACUAAAAAGGGGGAGAAACGACAUUAAGUAUGGAAUAACUUGUAUGUUGAGUGACCUUCUUAUCUUUGUACAUUAAAGAUUUAACACAUCUCUGUAGGGCUAAUCAUUUUAAAAAGCUCUUUUCAGGGCAUUUUUAAGGAUAUGGCGCAUUGCUGGGGAGUGUAUAAUAUUUGUGGCUGAUCAGAUUGAAGGUAGGCCAAGAAACAUCCAUUUAUAGUAAGUCUUGUAUUAUACAAGAAGAAGAAAAUGCAACAACCCACAUUAAUAAAAGGAGGACAUAAAAAUAUUGCUUUUCAUGCCUACUAAAACAGCGGUUAUCAACAGGGGGUCCGCGAACCCUUUCAGAGGGCCUGCAGGGCCCCAUGGCUAAAACUUGAUAUAGAUAUAUCUUGACUUUAGCAAAGCUUUUGAUACAGUCUCCCACAGUAUUCUUGCCAGUACAUUAAUGUAUGGAUUGGAUGAAUGGACUAUAAGAUGGAUAGAAAGCUGGCUAGAUUGUCUGGUUCAACGGAUAGUGAUCAAUGGCUCGAUGUCUAGUUGGCAACCGGUAUCAAGUGGAGUGCCCCAGGGGUCGAUCUUGGGGCCGGUUUUGUUCAACAUCUCUAUCAAUGAUCUGGAUGAUGGGCUUAAUUACACCCUGAGCAAGUUCGCAGAUGGACACUAAGCUGGGGGGAGAGGUAGAUAUGCUGGAGGGUAGGGAUAGAGUCCAGAGUGACCUAGACAAAUUGGAGGAUUGGGCCAAAAGAAAUCUGAUGAGGUUCAACAAGGACAAGUGCAGAGUCCUGCACUUAUGAAGGAAGAAUUCCAUGCACUGCUACAGGCUGGAGACAGAGUGGCUAAGCAGCAGUUCUUCAGAAAAGGACCUGGGGAAUACAGUGGACGAGAAGCUUGAUAUGAAUCAGCAGUGUGCCUUCGUUGCCAAGAAGGCCAACAGCAUAUUAGGCUGUAUUAGUAGGAGCAUUGCCAGCAGGUUGAGUGAAGUGAUUAUUCCCCUCUAUUCGGCACUGGUGAGGCGACAGCUGGAGUAUUGCACCCAGUUUUGGUCCCCGCACUACAGAAGGGAUGUGGACAAAUUGGAGAGUCCAGCUGAGGGCAGCAAUUAGGGGGCUGGAGCACAUGACUUACGAGGAGAGGCUGAGGGAACUAGGGUUAUUUAGUCUGCAGAAGCCAAAAGUGAGGGGGGAUUUGAUAGCAGCCUUCAGCAUCCUGAAGGGGGGUUCCAAAGAGGAUGGAGCUAGGCUGUUCUCAAUAGUGGUAGAUGACAGAACAAGAAGCAAUGGUCUCAAGUUGCAGUGAGGGAGGUCUAGGUUGGAUAUUAGGAAAAACUAUUUCACUAGGAGGGUGGUGAAGCACUGGAAUGGGUUACCUAGGGACAUGGCGGAAUCUCCAUCCUUAGAGGUUUUUAAGGCUUGACAAAGCCUUGGGUGGGAUGAUUUAGUUGGUGUUGGUCCUGCUUUGAGCAGGGGAUUGGACUAGAUGACCUCCUGAGGUCUCUUCCAACCCUAAUAUUCUAUGGUUCUAAAACCCAGAGCCCGAGUCCCAGCAUCUCCCACGGGGCUGAAGCCAGGAGCCGCAGGGUUGAAGCCCCAAUUCCCAGCACCCCCCACGGGGCAGAAGCCCUUAGCACAUGGGCAGAGUUGAGGGGGCACAGGGGUAUUGCCCCCUCCACAAGCUACAGUGCAAGAACAGGGCAGUCCCAGGGCAGCUUCACACACACACCCUCCACCUCCUUCUCUCCCUGUCGAUUGGCCAGGUUGGAGGCAGGAAGCCAGACCCAGGUAGUGAGGGACAGCUGCUGCUCUCUGGCUGGUACAAUGGAGCAGGCAGCCACAGCAUUCCCUCGUCUCCUGCUGCUACUGAUGCAGAGGGUUGAAUCUGUUCCUCAGCUCCCAGCCCCCUUUGCUCAUGCAGCUAGUAAGCACCGCCUGGGUGGGGGACCUGGUCCAAGGCUGACAGAGCCCUUGGGGUACAGGACCCCAGGGGAGCCCUCCCGACACACAGCCCCAUCCAACUCCCUCCCUGCAGCCUGAGCUACCCCUGCCUGUACACAGCGCCGAGCUACUCCUCUCCAUGCACCCUGAGCAACCCCUCUGUCUGCACACAGCCCCUAGCUACACUUUGGCCUGCACCCUGAGCUAAGCCCCUGCCCGCACACCACCCUUAGCUACCCCUCUCCCUGCACCCUGAACUGUUUUCAAACUUUUUGAGCUGAGCCCCCCACCUUUGAGUUAUAAUUUUUGGUUUUGCCCCCCACAUACACACAUACAACCCAGAUAGGCGUGUGGCCUGCUGAGGUGAGGCGGGGGGUGGAAAUGAAUUGGCACUCCCUCCCUGGACCUCGCCGUGUGGAGCUGGCUUGAGCCCCACUAGACUGACCACCCAAAAUAGAAGUCAAACUACACCUAUGCCCGAGCCCCCUCCCCCACUGGGCCCUGGAGUUUUUAUAGCAUGUUGAGGGGGGCCUCAGAAAGAAAAAGAUUGAGAAACCAUGUAGUAAAGGUUUGAAAAAUAUUUUGCUGUUACUUUAUAUUCUCCAUUGCUGUCACUUUGGGAACAAAGUGACCCUCGUGGAUGUGUCAUUUAAGGAUUCUUUUGUUGUAUGAGAAGCAGCUAAUGUUUGAUUUGUCUGUGCUGUAAUUGUUUAAAAUCCUUCUCUUGUCAUAUAACAAAUAUAUUGACUUACGGUAAGGUCCGUACUGGUCUGCUGACCAAAGCAAAGUAACAUUAAUCAUGAUUAAAUAAAGUACACUUAUUCAUAUAA